Molecule: ribosomal RNA, 492 nt
Filed under: uncultured bacterium
Lineage: Bacteria
Description: partial 16S ribosomal RNA
Rfam family: Bacterial small subunit ribosomal RNA
Source: RNAcentral
AGUGAACGCUGGCGGUAGGCCUAACACAUGCAAGUCGAACGGCAGCACAGUAAGAGCUUGCUCUUACGGGUGGCGAGUGGCGGACGGGUGAGGAAUACAUCGGAAUCUACUUUUUCGUGGGGGAUCACGUAGGGAAACUUACGCUAAUACCGCAUACGACCUACGGGUGAAAGCAGGGGAUCUUCGGACCUUGCGCGAUUGAAUGAGCCGAUGUCGGAUUAGCUAGUUGGCGGGGUAAAUGCCCACCAAGGCGACGAUCCGUAGCUGGUCUGAGAGGAUGAUCGGCCACACUGGAACUGAGACACGGUCCAGACUCCUACGGGAGGCAGCAGUGGGGAAUAUUGGACAAUGGGCGCGAGCCUGAUCCAGCCAUACCGCGUGGGUGAAGAAGGCCUUCGGGUUGUAAAGCCCUUUUGUUGGGAAAGAAAAGCAGCAGGUUAAUACCCCGCUGUUCUGACGGUACCCAAAGAAUAAGCACCGGCUAACUUCGUG